UCUUAUUUUUACCUAAUCGGCUCUCGCGAGCGUAGGAUCUCAGCGGACUCUGCCUCCAAACGCGUCUUUGUACGGAGCAUCGAUUCCAUGGCGAGCAACGGCGAUAAGGUCACCGUCACAGCGGAGAAUGGCGGGGAAUUCUCCUCCGUUGAAAACCCUAAGAAGAUUGUGGACCUUAACUCGGCGGGAUCAGAUCGUGCCGAGGACCCUCCCGGCACCGAGACCGUAGCACUGCCGGAAUCGGGAGGUACUUUGGCUACGGAGGGAGGUAAGAAGAAUGACGGUCAUAGCUCGAAGGUUACCGGAGCCGCGAGCGACGCAAGUUCUGGGAAUAAAUCACCUGUUAAUGAUAUCCAGAAGAAGAUCCAACGUGCUGAGAGGUUUGGUUUGCGUAUACAGCUUACGGAGGAGGAGAAACGGAAUUCUCGUGCUGAGAGGUUUGGAACCGCAACUUUUGUGAAUGACUCAGAGAGUACAAAGAAAGCAGAGGAGCUGAAGCGAAAGUCUAGGGCUGAGAGAUUUGGGCUUCCCAUAUCGUCUGCACCCGCUGCUGAAGAGGCAAAGAAGAAAGCUAGGCUGGCCCGAUUUGGGGCAGACACCAAAACUGAUUCUGCUGAGGAGGAGAAACGUAAAGCUAGGACAUUGAGGUUUUCAAAACCUUUAUCAAACUCAUCUUCAGAUGCAUCUGGGAAGCAAAGCGUCAGCAAUGAGGCAGCUGUAUCAGGAAAUGUUGCUUGAGGUGCCAGAAUAAAGCUCUUUCUUUUUGGUAGUUUAGGUAGGCUAUAUAAGGUAGCGCGCUAACAUUUUGUGGUUGUUCCCUCUCUGGCUGCUUCACCCUCAUCUCAAUUUCUGACUUAAAAGUUACUGCAAGUAGUCGGGUGGAUAUCAAAUGGACCAGGGUUCAGUUAUCACCACCAGAUGAGAUCUUGAGAAAUCAACGAGUACCUUUUAGUGCUAAUAGUCUAAAAAAGCAAUAUUAAUGGGCUAGGAUCUAGGAAUUCUGAAGCAGCAGUGCCAAUCACGUACUGGACUUUUUCUAUGUUGCAGGUGCUUGAAGCGGUAAGUUUGAGUCGGUAACUACUUUCAUCUCAUUUAUAUGUCAUCCAAAAAUGUCCUUGCAUAUUUGUGCAAGCACAGAUAGCAGUAAUACGUAGUUACUGUGUGCAAUGAGUAUUUUCAAAGUUGCAAGAACAAAUCAACCAAAGCAUUGAUUAUGAUAGAAAAGAAAUGGGAAGAUAAAAGGUUGGAGCUAAAGCCUACUUGGAGCGUGAUCUGAUUAGUAUAGUUCACCUGAACCUUUUAAAACCGUAGUUUGUUGCUCUAUUUACUGUAGAAGUGGAUUUCGUUAGAAGUACUUUUCCUUUUUUUUAGUUGUGUUCCAUUUUUCUUAACAUUCCAUGCUGGUGUGUUCUUGUGUGUUUUUCUUAAACCGUGCUAUUCGGCUAUCGUAGCUAUCAAAAUUGGCAUGUGUUUUUUUUCUUUUUCGCGCCUUUUAUAUCAUGCUUAUCCAUAUGAUUUCACAAGCUGCUGCUUCAGAAUUCCAAUGUUAUUAUAGACCUCAUUAGCAUUACAGAGGUACUCGUUGAUUUCCUUCUCUCUGGGUGCCAUCGUCUGUUGGCAGAGACAGCUUCAGACUGCAGCUGAAGCUCCAUGGUGGGACUUUUAUGACUGUAACCAUUGAGAUUCUCUGUUUGUAAUAGAAUUUAGACACCCGCUUUUGCAAAGACUUUGUGUCAAACAAUUUCAAACACAAUGCCAGAUGACUUGUUCGAGGGAAUGUAAUAUUUAGUGUUUCUUUUUA
Tarenaya hassleriana is the source of this 1801-nucleotide RNA transcript. It is a transcript of the gene named protein MODIFIER OF SNC1 11, with no coding region annotated. The transcript is spliced from 6 exons. The record is from RefSeq and is a predicted model, not a curated record. Lineage: Eukaryota; Viridiplantae; Streptophyta; Magnoliopsida; Brassicales; Cleomaceae.